Molecule: ribosomal RNA, 408 nt
Filed under: uncultured bacterium
Lineage: Bacteria
Description: partial 16S ribosomal RNA
Rfam family: Bacterial small subunit ribosomal RNA
Source: RNAcentral
GACGAACGCUGGCGGCGUGCCUAAUACAUGCAAGUAGAACGCAGUUGCGAACGGGUGAGUAACGCGUAGGUAACCUGCCUCAUAGCGGGGGAUAACUACUGGAAACGGUAGCUAAUACCGCAUACCAUCGGAUGUGCCCAGAUGGGAUUAGUUAGUAGGUGGGGUAACGGCUCACCUAGGCGACGAUCCCUAGCUGGUCUGGGAGGAUGACCAGGCACACUGGGACUGAGACACGGCCCAGACUUCUACGGGAGGCAGCAGUAGGGAAUCUUCGGCAAUGGACGGAAGUCUGACCGAGCAACGCCGCGUGAGUGAAGAAGGUUUUCGGAUCGUAAAGCUCUGUUGUUAGAGAAGCGGUAACUAACCAGAAAGGGACGGCUAACUACGUGCCAGCAGCCGCGGUAAUUC